GAUUCUCACUUCGAGCCAAAUAAAUGAGUUGUUACCCUGCUAGAAAGAAAGAUAUUAGCCUGCUUGUUAAACUGAUAAAGCAGUUGCCCGGAGUUUCAGCCUUCAGGAAAUGGUCAAGCUCCUAAUUGACAAUAAUCUUGUAAACAAAGAUGUAGCAAGCGCUUGUAACUGGCGAAUUGCAAGUGGAGCAUGAACUAGGGUUAAUCACCUGACUUCAUUUUAUAAAGGGGAAGUCAUGACACUUGGAAAAAUGGAGGAACAUAAAGCUUCAGAAUCUUGUGAGGUCUCGCUCUUUCCUUUGUCACUCAAGUGUACGGCAUCUGCCGUUCUUAGGCCCCUUCUUCCCUGAAAGAGUCCACCGCCUGCCGUCAGGCCUGUCCCUUGAGUUGGUGAUUCCGAAGCUGGAUCAAAGGGGGUACUACGAGCCCUCUGCCCCACGCAUCUAACCAGCUCACGUGGUUCGCCGGUUCCACCGACUAGAACAUAUUCUCAGUCGAUACAGAGGUGCGCUUGAAAGUGGGGGGUGUGCUGUCCUUAUUGGGCCCU
This is a long non-coding RNA of Papaver somniferum (opium poppy), 546 nucleotides long. RefSeq lists it as uncharacterized. The record is from RefSeq and is a predicted model, not a curated record. The transcript is spliced from 3 exons. NCBI's taxonomy places the organism in Eukaryota, Viridiplantae, Streptophyta, Magnoliopsida, Ranunculales, Papaveraceae.